GGCUUAGAGUUUGAUCAUGGCUCAGGAUGAACGCUGGCGGCGUGCCUAACACAUGCAAGUCGAGCGAAGCACUUUGCUUGGAAUCUUUCGGGAGGACGAGUGAUUUGACUGAGCGGCGGACGGGUGAGUAACGCGUGGGCAACCUGCCUCACACAGGGGGAUAACAGUUAGAAAUGACUGCUAAUACCGCAUAAGACCACAGCACCGCAUGGUGCAGGGGUAAAAACUCCGGUGGUGUGAGAUGGGCCCGCGUCUGAUUAGGUAGUUGGCGGGGUAACGGCCCACCAAGCCGACGAUCAGUAGCUGACCUGAGAGGGUGACCGGCCACAUUGGGACUGAGACACGGCCCAAACUCCUACGGGAGGCAGCAGUGGGGAAUAUUGCACAAUGGGGGAAACCCUGAUGCAGCGACGCCGCGUGAGCGAAGAAGUAUUUCGGUAUGUAAAGCUCUAUCAGCAGGGAAGAAACUGACGGUACCUGACUAAGAAGCACCGGCUAAAUACGUGCCAGCAGCCGCGGUAAUACGUAUGGUGCAAGCGUUAUCCGGAUUUACUGGGUGUAAAGGGAGCGUAGACGGAUUUGCAAGUCUGAAGUGAAAGCCCGGGGCUCAACCCCGGGACUGCUUUGGAAACUGUAGGUCUUGAGUGCUGGAGAGGUAAGUG
RNAcentral lists this ribosomal RNA (662 nucleotides) under uncultured organism. RNAcentral's name for it is "bacterial SSU rRNA". It matches the Rfam family "Bacterial small subunit ribosomal RNA", at positions 1 to 663 of the family's 1533-position model. The record is from RNAcentral.